Molecule: long non-coding RNA, 1036 nt
Organism: Coregonus clupeaformis (lake whitefish)
Lineage: Eukaryota; Metazoa; Chordata; Actinopteri; Salmoniformes; Salmonidae
Exons: 5
Source: RefSeq, a predicted model, not a curated record
GGUUCUGUGUGGACAGAAGGGAGUCCGGUUUUUCUUCCCUCUGUGGGAAAGCUGUUGAUAUGAAAUGGUAGGUGGGUGAAAUUCAACAAGAAAACAUAAUAUUACACUUCUAUUACCGUAUAUAAAAAAAACUUUUAUUUUUUUAUUUAGCAAACACUUGUACAUGACUGAAUUCUCUUCUCCUACAUGUUGAUACAUAGGCUUGCAGACAUGGGACAAUUAGUUGUUGGAUAUAGCUGAGAUGGGUAUCAGGCAGUUCUUUGAAGAUCAGAAGUUGACCUACAGUGAAGAAGGGGUCCCAGCUAUACCUAGUACCAAGGUUUACAAGAUAUGAGGAAGAUGAUGCUCUUCAGUUGACAUCCUGAGGACCAAUCUAUUUUGAGUCUCCUUCCAUGUAAUCACUUCAUAUUGAUUAUUCCUUCACUGAAAAUGUGCCUUUUUUUCACAGAGCUCAGAUGGAAAUAUAUCCUUGUACCAGUGUGACCUUUUCAAAUUCUCUAGUGCAAUUUAGGGUCAGUUUGGAGGGAUUUUGGACAGAGGCUCCUUGGUCGCCAUCAACCCAUGAGACAGAGAAAAGUAUGCAACACUGAUCAUGUUGUUAAUGGACCAAGAGGACUGCCGAUACCUCUUGGACACUUUUUUAUACAAUCCUGAAUUGUUCAAAGGUUCUCCAUUUGAUGUGCCUGAUGAGGAGGUAAACAGACUUUUCAGGAGUUGUGCUAUUAAGUUUAUACAGUCUUCAGAUGCUCUCCCAGACGUGAAGGAUAAGGAAUGGGGCUUGGACGUCUUCAUAGAGAGAGUUUAUCUCACCCCAAAGGCCUCAUAAACAUGAUUUCAUGGGCUUCUCUGAGACUACAGGAAGAUAUAUCUGAGAGAAAUAGUGCAUUGAAAAUUAUUGUCAGGAUAUUUGGUGUUCUGUGAAUGUUAAAUAUUGUUAUUAGCUUUGUUGACAGUUUGGAAAUGACCUAAUGUCGAAAUAUGCCAAGUCAAUUCUUUCAUAUGGGAAAUUAACUGAAUUUACAGUGAUUUUGAAAUG